This 358-nucleotide ribosomal RNA is filed under the name Neogloboquadrina pachyderma. RNAcentral describes it as "bacterial SSU rRNA". It matches the Rfam family "Eukaryotic small subunit ribosomal RNA", at positions 1203 to 1452 of the family's 1831-position model. Lineage: Eukaryota; Foraminifera; Rotaliida; Globorotaliidae. The record is from RNAcentral.
ACGCGGGAAAUCUUACCGGGUCCGGACACACUGAGGAUUGACAGGCAAUAUCUCAUGGUUAUUAACCCGGUUAUUACAUUUUGUUUAAUCGGUUAUUAAGCAUCGAGUGUUAAAUAUGCUAGUCCUUUCAUGAUUAUGUGAUAGGUGGUGCAUGGCCGUUCUUAGUUCGGGAGUGAUCUGUCUGCUUAAUUGCGUUUCACUAAGGGCCCAUAAAUUCAAGGUAUGUUAGCUAUCGUCGCUCUAUGGACCCCUUAUACUCGAUUUCGCUUUAAUUAGCGUUAUUUGUUUAAUAAGCGCGCGUCUUUAUUUAAGAGUUUAAGACACUGCGCAUGCUGUUGGGCUCUGAAAGCAACGAACG